Molecule: ribosomal RNA, 924 nt
Filed under: Triticum aestivum (bread wheat)
Lineage: Eukaryota; Viridiplantae; Streptophyta; Magnoliopsida; Poales; Poaceae
Description: partial small subunit ribosomal RNA
Source: RNAcentral
AUGGUAGGAGGACAUCGUUGGCACAUGUGGUUCUAUCCUAAUGGCGAACGCCCAGAGAGCGCCGACUCGAUAUCUCUCUUUCUACGUCUCGUUGAUGCAAAUGUUGCAGAGGCUCUGAACGUGCAGUCCAUUUUUAGUUUCGUUGACGAGCAUGAGAAGCAAGAUUCAGCACAUAUUCGUGCCAGCAAGCCAGACAACUUCUCUAGCUGUUCACGAAGUUGGGGUUACCCAAGUUUCAUGAAAAGAGACACUCUUGAAAAAUCAAAGCAUCUAAAUUAUAACUGUUUCACCAUCCGAUGUGAUCUCUCCAUUGUCACGGCCACUGAUCUCUUCAUCAAAGUACCCGCUUCUAGCAUAAAACAGCAUAUCAGUGGCCUCCUGCUGUCCAAGGAGGGCACAGACGUGACAUUCGUUGUGUCCGGUGAGAAGUUUGCUGCCCACCGGUGCGUGCUUGCAGCUCGGUCAGCUGUCCUCAAGGCGGAGCUGUUUGGAUCCAUGAAGGAGAGCACAAUAGCGAGUGUCAUAGAUGUAGAAGACGUGGAGCCAAGAGUGUUUAGUGCUUUGCUUAACUUUAUUUACACCGAUUCACUGCCCAAGAUGGAGAUAGGAAUGUUGGAGGAUGAAGGAGAAGCCCAAGAAGCAUUGUGGUUGCAACACUUGCUUGCAGCGGCCGAUAGAUACGCUCUCCAAAGGCUGAAAGCACUCUGUGAAGAAAAGCUGUGCACUCACACAAACGUGAGCUCGGUGACGACUAUUCUCACUCUAGCUGAGCAGCACAGCUGUUGUGGAUUGAAGGAGGUUUGUUUUGAGUUCAUCAAGACUCCUGCUAAUUUGAAGGAGAUAACGGCUGCUGACGGCUUGGAGGACAUAGCUAGAACCUGCCCCUCUCUUCUAAAGGAGCUAAUUGCUAAGUUUGCUUCCUAA